RNAcentral lists this ribosomal RNA (447 nucleotides) under uncultured Alphaproteobacteria bacterium. Its description in RNAcentral is "bacterial SSU rRNA". It matches the Rfam family "Bacterial small subunit ribosomal RNA", at positions 29 to 508 of the family's 1533-position model. Lineage: Bacteria; Pseudomonadati; Pseudomonadota; Alphaproteobacteria. The record is from RNAcentral.
AGCGAACGCUGGCGGCAGGCUUAACACAUGCAAGUCGAACGGGCACCUUCGGGUGUAAGUGGCAGACGGGUGAGUAACACGUGGGAACGUACCCUUCGGUUCGGAAUAACACAGGGAAACUUGUGCUAAUACCGGAUACGCCCUUGGCCUCUGGCCGUGGGGAAAGGUUUACUGCCGGAGGAUCGGCCCGCGUCUAAUUAGCUAGUUGGUGAGGUAACGGCUCACCAAGGCGACGAUCAGUAGCUGGUCUGAGAGGAUGAUCAGCCACACUGGGACUGAGACACGGCCCAGACUCCUACGGGAGGCAGCAGUGGGGAAUAUUGGACAAUGGGCGCAAGCCUGAUCCAGCCAUGCCGCGUGAGUGAUGAAGGCCUUAGGGUUGUAAAGCUCUUUUGUCCGGGACGAUAAUGACGGUACCGGAAGAAUAAGCCCCGGCUAACUUCGUGC